AUUGAACGCUGGCGGCAUGCUUUACACAUGCAAGUCGAACGGCAGCACAGAGAAGCUUGCUUCUUGGGUGGCGAGUGGCGAACGGGUGAGUAAUAUAUCGGAACGUACCGAGUAAUGGGGGAUAACUAAUCGAAAGAUUAGCUAAUACCGCAUAUUCUCUGAGGAGGAAAGCAGGGGACCUUCGGGCCUUGCGUUAUUCGAGCGGCCGAUAUCUGAUUAGCUAGUUGGUGGGGUAAAGGCCUACCAAGGCGACGAUCAGUAGCGGGUCUGAGAGGAUGAUCCGCCACACUGGGACUGAGACACGGCCCAGACUCCUACGGGAGGCAGCAGUGGGGAAUUUUGGACAAUGGGCGCAAGCCUGAUCCAGCCAUGCCGCGUGUCUGAAGAAGGCCUUCGGGUUGUAAAGGACUUUUGUCAGGGAAGAAAAGGCUGUUGCUAAUAUCAAUAGCUGAUGACGGUACCUGAAGAAUAAGCACCGGCUAACUACGUG
This 490-nucleotide ribosomal RNA is filed under the name uncultured bacterium. RNAcentral describes it as "partial 16S ribosomal RNA". It matches the Rfam family "Bacterial small subunit ribosomal RNA", at positions 30 to 507 of the family's 1533-position model. The record is from RNAcentral.